RNAcentral lists this long non-coding RNA (530 nucleotides) under Equus caballus (horse). Its description in RNAcentral is "lncRNA (ENSECAG00000053085.1)". Lineage: Eukaryota; Metazoa; Chordata; Mammalia; Perissodactyla; Equidae. The record is from RNAcentral.
UAUCCACUUGUCCCAUACCCUCUCUCAAUCCCCUGAGGAAUUUGAGAGGAAAUUACCUGGAUGAACUUUAUAGUGAAUAUGAAGAACACAUUUAGUACAACUCAAAAGAAGGAAGGAGAUGACCUUCACCCCUUCCAAGGCUCUCUGAAGAAAAUUGAAGGUAAAUAUGAUUAAAUAGGAAAAUGUGAGCAACUGCUGUCUGACUGAAAAAUCAACAAGCCACCACACAUGGAAACAAGGAGCAACGAGUUUCCCUGUUCAGAAACCAGUCUAAGAACAGGGAGGUUCUCCUGAUAUUUUCUCCAAGAAAAAUCAGUGCCCAAUAAAUCAGCGUUUGGAGGCCUGGCUCCUGAAUAGCAGUCAAAGAUGAACAGAGGCCAGAAUCUCGCUGACCUGCAAGGCACCACCUGAGACCCCAACUCGACAGUCGCCGCCUAUAAAUCUUCCCGCAGUGGCCACCCCAUCAGCUGCUCUGCAUGUGGAGGGUAACAAAGGAAGCCAGAGGAGGCUUUAGUUUUUACUUAUUUUUC